UACGUAGGGGGCAAGCGUUGUCCGGAAUCAUUGGGCGUAAAGAGCGUGUAGGCGGCCAGAUAAGUCCGCUGUGAAAUCUCGAGGCUCAACUUCGAGCUGUCGGUGGAAACUGUCUGGCUAGAGUCCGGAAGAGGAGAAUGGAAUUCCUGGUGUAGCGGUGAAAUGCGCAGAUAUCAGGAAGAACACCCGUGGCGAAGGCGGUUCUCUCGGACGGUACUGACGCUGAGACGCGAAAGCGUGGGGAGCGAACAGG
RNAcentral lists this ribosomal RNA (253 nucleotides) under uncultured bacterium. Its description in RNAcentral is "partial 16S ribosomal RNA". It matches the Rfam family "Bacterial small subunit ribosomal RNA", at positions 524 to 776 of the family's 1533-position model. The record is from RNAcentral.